This 497-nucleotide ribosomal RNA is filed under the name uncultured bacterium. Its description in RNAcentral is "partial 16S ribosomal RNA". It matches the Rfam family "Bacterial small subunit ribosomal RNA", at positions 28 to 507 of the family's 1533-position model. The record is from RNAcentral.
GAUGAACGCUGGCGGCGUGCCUAAUACAUGCAAGUCGAGCGAACGGACGAGAAGCUUGCUUCUCUGAUGUUAGCGGCGGACGGGUGAGUAACACGUGGAUAACCUACCUAUAAGACUGGGAUAACUUCGGGAAACCGGAGCUAAUACCGGAUGAUAUUUUGAACCGCAUGGUUCAAAAGUGAAAGACGGUCUUGCUGUCACUUAUAGAUGGAUCCGCGCUGCACUAGCUAGUUGGUAAGGUAACGGCUUACCAAGGCAACGAUGCAUAGCCGACCUGAGAGGGUGAUCGGCCACACUGGAACUGAGACACGGUCCAGACUCCUACGGGAGGCAGCAGUAGGGAAUCUUCCGCAAAGGGCGAAAGCCUGACGGAGCAACGCCGCGUGAGUGAUGAAGGUCUUCGGAUCGUAAAACUCUGUUAUUAGGGAAGAACAUAUGUGUAAGUAACUGUGCACAUCUUGACGGUACCUAAUCAGAAAGCCACGGCUAACUACGUG